UAAUAGGUUUCAAUAAUACAUUGUUGAUAUACAAUCUUGGUUCUUUCAAGCUGAAGCUAAAUAUAUUUGUUACAUAAAACUCAUUUAUGUUGUAUAGAAUUAAAACUCUCUUCAGAGGUCAUAGUUUUAAACAAAUAUGCAUACACAUCUAAAUAAAUAUUAAAUCCCAAACAAUGACUUUAUUUUGACAGAAUCUAUAGAAAAUACAACCUUACAUAUAUAACCUACUAAACAAUAGAAACAUUUUAAAUGCCAGCUUGAAAGAAGCCUAAAAGUUUUUAGGAUGAGAAAGUUGCAUUAUGAAUUAAAAUAUACACAUUUCAAAGACUUCAAAAGUGGAAGUUGCUUAUAAGGUGAUUUUUGCUUAUAAGGUGAUUUUUGCUGCUCUGAAAAUAAAAGAGGCUUACGUAACAUUUUAAAAAUUAUUUCUUCCAUAUCCAUUGAUGUAAUAUAACAUUCAUAUGUACAUACACAAGAAAAACAAAUUUUAGACUAACAUUUCAGUUAUUUUUUAGGGUAUGUGAAAUCAUUUGUUUUUCUCCACUCUAUCUCUGGGUCAAGGUCUAUAGCAUUUAUUUGAGCCAGCUAUCUAUCUCCUUUUCAUAAGGGCCCCAGGAGGCAAUAGUCAUACAUUGUUACUUCAGCCUUCACAAAGGCAAAACAGUACAGAGCCCUGUACUGUAAUGGACAACACAGAACAGUCCCCAUUGCAGUUCCUGCUGCACUGACAAGACUCCUUCAGAGCCCGGCACGUGACUGGCACGACCCGCACCGGCCUCGGUCCCGUCACCUCGUGGGUGCGCCGCCGGAGGUUCCAAAACGGAGAAAAGCCAGUCGCCGUCUCUAACGUAUUUGGAGAAAUACUGAUGGAUCAGGGAGGGCUGUGACCUUCUGAGCUUCGCCGCGCCCGCCGGACCUUUGACCGUCUCAUUAGCACCUUCCACCGCGUCGCAGGAAGGCUGCGGGGCUGGAGACUCUGGCCGCGGGGGGUUGGCGGGGAUGGAGCGUCCCCGCGACCGUCUCCGGCGCGCACUGCCCCGGCUCCAGGUGCGCGGCGGGAGGGGUGUGGGCGGGACGCGGGACCUAAACCCAGGCAAAGUCGCGCAGCCGGCGAAAUUCCCGCUGGGUCCCCGCACCCCGUCUGCGCGGAGCACUUCGGGCCCUCCUGUCGCAUCCUUUCAUCUCUGGGUCUCUCUGCUGCAGGGCGCGGCGGCCGGAGGUUCCCGGCUCGGCUUCCGCUGCGGAGCCGGGGUGGAGAUGGGGCGCGGGGACCCCACGCCGGAGAGCCGGAGAGCCCGGGAGCCGCAGCGCGCUCCGCCCGAUCCCCUUUCAGGGCUGUGUCCGCGCCGCUCUCUGGAAGCUAGUGGACCACAAAGUUGGAAGAAAUAGCGCGAACUGUAAAGGGGGAUCCCCCCUCCCUCUCGCAGUCUCAAGGGACAAUCUUUCCAAAAAUGUGGUGCCUGACUUCAGUUAAAUUCUUUGCCGUCGUUCUUAGCCGUCUGUUUCUGUUUGGAAAUAAUUACAAAAUGGAUUUUCGAACUGCCGCAUAGAGAAAGGAACCGGGAAGGGGCAAGUCAGAGCCCACCGACCGUAUUAGGAGUCCCGUGGAUCCCACCGGAGGCCUGCCUGGAGGAGGCGUGUGCUUCGCGACAUCUGGGGAGGGCGCCGCAAAGCUUCGGUGAGACAGCCUGCUGAGAGUUGUGAAUGGCGAGGGGAGCGCUCCAUCAGCUGGCUAGAGAAAAAAAAAAAAAA
Molecule: long non-coding RNA, 1752 nt
Organism: Miniopterus natalensis
Lineage: Eukaryota; Metazoa; Chordata; Mammalia; Chiroptera; Miniopteridae
Source: RefSeq, a predicted model, not a curated record